UAGGGAAUAUUAGUAAUGGGCGAAAGCCUGAACUAGCAACACCGCGUGUGCGAAGAAGGCCUUCGGGUUGUAAAGCACUUUUUGAGAGGAAGAGGAAGGACGGUACUCUCAGAAUAAGUCUCGGCUAACUACGUGCCAGCAGCCGCGGUAACACGUAGGAGGCAAACGUUAUCCGGAUUUACUGGGCGUAAAGCGCGUGUAGGUGGUUUGGUAAGUAGAGCGUGAAAGCUCCUGGCUUAACUGGGAGAGGUCGUUCAAAACUGAUAGUCUCGAGAAUGGUAGAGGGAGGUGGAAUUCCGGGUGUAGCGGUGGAAUGCGCAGAUAUCCGGAGGAACACCAGUGGCGAAAGCGGCCUCCUGGACCAUUCCUGACACUCAGACGCGAAAGCUAGGGUAGCAAACG
RNAcentral lists this ribosomal RNA (402 nucleotides) under uncultured prokaryote. RNAcentral describes it as "bacterial SSU rRNA". It matches the Rfam family "Bacterial small subunit ribosomal RNA", at positions 355 to 774 of the family's 1533-position model. The record is from RNAcentral.